AUGGAUCUGUUCCUGACAGCGACGUCCCUCGUCUCCGACGCGAACACUUGGUUUGAUUUCCUCGGCACGACCUUCUCCGCCGUCUCCGAGCUGCUAUCCGGGUGGAGGCAUAAGCAGGAGCGUCGGCAUGGCGAGGCGGAGCGGAGGCAGCUGCAGUGGAAGGAGGAGGACAUGAAGAUGAAGCAGCUCCACUACUGCUUGCUCGAUUUGCCAGAUCUGAUCAACCACGCCGAGUGGUUCAGCUACAUAAAAGACGACAAAGAGGUGGCCAAGCUCCUCCCGGAGCUCAGGGUCGAGUCAACGAUGCAUACGACCUGCUGGAAGAGUUCAGCUACCACCAUCAGCUUGGGCCAAGCACGGCGGCGGCGGCGGAGCAGCCGGGGGACGACUUUUUGA
This 396-nucleotide ribosomal RNA is filed under the name Triticum aestivum (bread wheat). Its description in RNAcentral is "partial small subunit ribosomal RNA". Lineage: Eukaryota; Viridiplantae; Streptophyta; Magnoliopsida; Poales; Poaceae. The record is from RNAcentral.